GAUGAACGCUGGCGGUAUGCUUAACGCAUGCAAGUCGAACGGACUCUUCGGAGUUAGUGGCGGACGGGUGAGUAACGCGUGAGAAUCUGGCUUUGGGUUCGGGACAACCACUGGAAACGGUGGCUAAUACCGGAUGUGCCGAGAGGUAAAAGAGAAAUUGCCUGAAGAUGAGCUCGCGUCUGAUUAGCUAGUUGGUGAGGUAAAGGCUCACCAAGGCAGCGAUCAGUAGCUGGUCUGAGAGGAUGACCAGCCACACUGGGACUGAGACACGGCCCAGACUCCUAAGGGAGGCAGAAGGGGGGAAUUUUCCGCAAGGGGCGAAAGCCUGACGGAGAAAUACCGCGUGAGGGAAGAAGGCUCUUGGGUUGUAAACCUCUUUUCUUAGGGAAGAACAAAAUGACGGUACCUAAGGAAUCAGCAUCGGCUAACUCCGUG
Molecule: ribosomal RNA, 435 nt
Filed under: uncultured bacterium
Lineage: Bacteria
Description: partial 16S ribosomal RNA
Rfam family: Bacterial small subunit ribosomal RNA
Source: RNAcentral